Molecule: ribosomal RNA, 254 nt
Filed under: uncultured bacterium
Lineage: Bacteria
Description: partial 16S ribosomal RNA
Rfam family: Bacterial small subunit ribosomal RNA
Source: RNAcentral
UACGGGGGGAGCAAGCGUUGUUCGGAUUUACUGGGCGUAAAGGGCGCGUAGGCGGUCAGCACAAGUCAGUUGUGAAAUCUCCGGGCUUAACUCGGAAAGGUCAACUGAUACUGUGCGACUAGAGUGCGGAAGGGGCAACUGGAAUUCUCGGUGUAGCGGUGAAAUGCGUAGAUAUCGAGAGGAACACCUGCGGCGAAGGCGGGUUGCUGGGCUGACACUGACGCUGAGGAGCGAAAGCCAGGGGAGCAAACGGG